RNAcentral lists this small RNA (126 nucleotides) under Drosophila erecta. Its description in RNAcentral is "GG26327". The record is from RNAcentral. Lineage: Eukaryota; Metazoa; Arthropoda; Insecta; Diptera; Drosophilidae.
UUUCACUUCUAUAUUUAAUGCUGUCUUCGAUAUACAAUAUUUGAAAUAUUUUCUUAAAACGUAAUGCUUAAAAAUGGAUGGAAUGAUAUAACAUAGUUGUGGAUUCUAGGCGAUAAAAAGCUUUAA